GCAACGCCGCGUGAGUGAAGAAGGGUUUCGGCUCGUAAAGCUCUGUUGUUAAAGAAGAACGUGGGUAAGAGUAACUGUUUACCCAGUGACGGUAUUUAACCAGAAAGCCACGGCUAACUACGUGCCAGCAGCCGCGGUAAUACGUAGGUGGCAAGCGUUAUCCGGAUUUAUUGGGCGUAAAGCGAGCGCAGGCGGUCUUUUAAGUCUAAUGUGAAAGCCUUCGGCUCAACCGAAGAAGUGCAUUGGAAACUGGGAGACUUGAGUGCAGAAGAGGACAGUGGAACUCCAUGUGUAGCGGUGAAAUGCGUAGAUAUAUGGAAGAACACCAGUGGCGAAGGCGGCUGUCUGGUCUGCAACUGACGCUGAGGCUCGAAAGCAUGGGUAGCGAACAGGAUUAGAUACCCUGGUAGUCCAUGCCGUAAACGAUGAUUACUAAGUGUUGGAGGGUUUCCGCCCUUCAGUGCUGCAGCUAACGCAUUAAGUAAUCCGCCUGGGGAGUACGACCGCAAGGUUGAAACUCAAAAGAAUUGACGGGGGCCCGCACAAGCGGUGGAGCAUGUGGUUUAAUUCGAAGCUACGCGAAGAACCUUACCAGGUCUUGACAUCUUCUGACAGUCUAAGAGAUUAGAGGUUCCCUUCGGGGACAGAAUGACAGGUGGUGCAUGGUUGUCGUCAGCUCGUGUCGUGAGAUGUUGGGUUAAGUCCCGCAACGAGCGCAACCCUUAUUACUAGUUGCCAGCAUUAAGUUGGGCACUCUAGUGAGACUGCCGGUGACAAACCGGAGGAAGGUGGGGACGACGUCAAAUCAUCAUGCCCCUUAUGACCUGGGCUACACACGUGCUACAAUGGAUGGUACAACGAGUCGCGAGACCGCGAGGUUAAGCUAAUCUCUUAAAACCAUUCUCAGUUCGGACUGUAGGCUGCAACUCGCCUACACGAAGUCGG
RNAcentral lists this ribosomal RNA (945 nucleotides) under unidentified. RNAcentral describes it as "bacterial SSU rRNA". It matches the Rfam family "Bacterial small subunit ribosomal RNA", at positions 391 to 1329 of the family's 1533-position model. The record is from RNAcentral.